AGCGUACACGGUGGAUGCCCUGGCAGUCAGAGGCGAUGAAGGACGUGCUAAUCUGCGAUAAGCGUCGGUAAGGUGAUAUGAACCGUUAUAACCGGCGAUUUCCGAAUGGGGAAACCCAGUGUGUUUCGACACACUAUCAUUAACUGAAUCCAUAGGUUAAUGAGGCGAACCGGGGGAACUGAAACAUCUAAGUACCCCGAGGAAAAGAAAUCAACCGAGAUUCCCCCAGUAGCGGCGAGCGAACGGGGAGCAGCCCAGAGCCUGAAUCAGUGUGUGUGUUAGUGGAAGCGUCUGGAAAGGCGCGCGAUACAGGGUGACAGCCCCGUACACAAAAAUGCACAUGCUGUGAGCUCGAUGAGUAGGGCGGGACACGUGGUAUCCUGUCUGAAUAUGGGGGGACCAUCCUCCAAGGCUAAAUACUCCUGACUGACCGAUAGUGAACCAGUACCGUGAGGGAAAGGCGAAAAGAACCCCGGCGAGGGGAGUGAAAAAGAACCUGAAACCGUGUACGUACAAGCAGUGGGAGCACGCUUAGGCGUGUGACUGCGUACCUUUUGUAUAAUGGGUCAGCGACUUAUAUUCUGUAGCAAGGUUAACCGAAUAGGGGAGCCGAAGGGAAACCGAGUCUUAACUGGGCGUUAAGUUGCAGGGUAUAGACCCGAAACCCGGUGAUCUAGCCAUGGGCAGGUUGAAGGUUGGGUAACACUAACUGGAGGACCGAACCGACUAAUGUUGAAAAAUUAGCGGAUGACUUGUGGCUGGGGGUGAAAGGCCAAUCAAACCGGGAGAUAGCUGGUUCUCCCCGAAAGCUAUUUAGGUAGCGCCUCGUGAAUUCAUCUCCGGGGGUAGAGCACUGUUUCGGCAAGGGGGUCAUCCCGACUUACCAACCCGAUGCAAACUGCGAAUACCGGAGAAUGUUAUCACGGGAGACACACGGCGGGUGCUAACGUCCGUCGUGAAGAGGGAAACAACCCAGACCGCCAGCUAAGGUCCCAAAGUCAUGGUUAAGUGGGAAACGAUGUGGGAAGGCCCAGACAGCCAGGAUGUUGGCUUAGAAGCAGCCAUCAUUUAAAGAAAGCGUAAUAGCUCACUGGUCGAGUCGGCCUGCGCGGAAGAUGUAACGGGGCUAAACCAUGCACCGAAGCUGCGGCAGCGACGCUUAUGCGUUGUUGGGUAGGGGAGCGUUCUGUAAGCCUGCGAAGGUGUGCUGUGAGGCAUGCUGGAGGUAUCAGAAGUGCGAAUGCUGACAUAAGUAACGAUAAAGCGGGUGAAAAGCCCGCUCGCCGGAAGACCAAGGGUUCCUGUCCAACGUUAAUCGGGGCAGGGUGAGUCGACCCCUAAGGCGAGGCCGAAAGGCGUAGUCGAUGGGAAACAGGUUAAUAUUCCUGUACUUGGUGUUACUGCGAAGGGGGGACGGAGAAGGCUAUGUUGGCCGGGCGACGGUUGUCCCGGUUUAAGCGUGUAGGCUGGUUUUCCAGGCAAAUCCGGAAAAUCAAGGCUGAGGCGUGAUGACGAGGCACUACGGUGCUGAAGCAACAAAUGCCCUGCUUCCAGGAAAAGCCUCUAAGCAUCAGGUAACAUCAAAUCGUACCCCAAACCGACACAGGUGGUCAGGUAGAGAAUACCAAGGCGCUUGAGAGAACUCGGGUGAAGGAACUAGGCAAAAUGGUGCCGUAACUUCGGGAGAAGGCACGCUGAUAUGUAGGUGAAGUCCCUCGCGGAUGGAGCUGAAAUCAGUCGAAGAUACCAGCUGGCUGCAACUGUUUAUUAAAAACACAGCACUGUGCAAACACGAAAGUGGACGUAUACGGUGUGACGCCUGCCCGGUGCCGGAAGGUUAAUUGAUGGGGUUAGCCGCAAGGCGAAGCUCUUGAUCGAAGCCCCGGUAAACGGCGGCCGUAACUAUAACGGUCCUAAGGUAGCGAAAUUCCUUGUCGGGUAAGUUCCGACCUGCACGAAUGGCGUAAUGAUGGCCAGGCUGUCUCCACCCGAGACUCAGUGAAAUUGAACUCGCUGUGAAGAUGCAGUGUACCCGCGGCAAGACGGAAAGACCCCGUGAACCUUUACUAUAGCUUGACACUGAACAUUGAGCCUUGAUGUGUAGGAUAGGUGGGAGGCUUGGAAGUGUGGACGCCAGUCUGCAUGGAGCCGACCUUGAAAUACCACCCUUUAAUGUUUGAUGUUCUAACGUUGACCCGUAAUCCGGGUUGCGGACAGUGUCUGGUGGGUAGUUUGACUGGGGCGGUCUCCUCCUAAAGAGUAACGGAGGAGCACGAAGGUUGGCUAAUCCUGGUCGGACAUCAGGAGGUUAGUGCAAUGGCAUAAGCCAGCUUGACUGCGAGCGUGACGGCGCGAGCAGGUGCGAAAGCAGGUCAUAGUGAUCCGGUGGUUCUGAAUGGAAGGGCCAUCGCUCAACGGAUAAAAGGUACUCCGGGGAUAACAGGCUGAUACCGCCCAAGAGUUCAUAUCGACGGCGGUGUUUGGCACCUCGAUGUCGGCUCAUCACAUCCUGGGGCUGAAGUAGGUCCCAAGGGUAUGGCUGUUCGCCAUUUAAAGUGGUACGCGAGCUGGGUUUAGAACGUCGUGAGACAGUUCGGUCCCUAUCUGCCGUGGGCGCUGGAGAACUGAGGGGGGCUGCUCCUAGUACGAGAGGACCGGAGUGGACGCAUCACUGGUGUUCGGGUUGUCAUGCCAAUGGCACUGCCCGGUAGCUAAAUGCGGAAGAGAUAAGUGCUGAAAGCAUCUAAGCACGAAACUUGCCCCGAGAUGAGUUCU
Molecule: ribosomal RNA, 2775 nt
Filed under: Escherichia coli O15:H11
Lineage: Bacteria; Pseudomonadati; Pseudomonadota; Gammaproteobacteria; Enterobacterales; Enterobacteriaceae
Description: bacterial LSU rRNA
Rfam family: Bacterial large subunit ribosomal RNA
Source: RNAcentral